Molecule: ribosomal RNA, 429 nt
Filed under: Bacteroidota bacterium
Lineage: Bacteria; Pseudomonadati; Bacteroidota
Description: Bacteroidetes bacterium partial 16S ribosomal RNA
Rfam family: Bacterial small subunit ribosomal RNA
Source: RNAcentral
UAGGGAAUCUUCGGCAAUGGGGGGAACCCUGACCGAGCAACGCCGCGUGAGUGAAGAAGGUUUUCGGAUCGUAAAGCUCUGUUGUUAAGGAAGAACGAGUGUGAGAAUGGAAAGUUCAUACUGUGACGGUACUUAACCAGAAAGGGACGGCUAACUACGUGCCAGCAGCCGCGGUAAUACGUAGGUCCCGAGCGUUGUCCGGAUUUAUUGGGCGUAAAGCGAGCGCAGGCGGUUAGAUAAGUCUGAAGUGAAAGGCAGUGGCUCAACCAUUGUAGGCUUUGGAAACUGUUUAACUUGAGUGCAGAAGGGGAGAGUGGAAUUCCAUGUGUAGCGGUGAAAUGCGUAGAUAUAUGGAGGAACACCGGUGGUGAAAGCGGCUCUCUGGUCUGUAACUGACGCUGAGGCUCGAAAGCGUGGGGAGCGAACAGG